Long non-coding RNA from Micropterus dolomieu (smallmouth bass), 633 nucleotides. RefSeq lists it as uncharacterized. The transcript is spliced from 3 exons. The record is from RefSeq and is a predicted model, not a curated record. Lineage: Eukaryota; Metazoa; Chordata; Actinopteri; Centrarchiformes; Centrarchidae.
UGAGGAGGAGAAAAAGCUGCUGUGGUUCCAUUAUACAUAUAAAAAACAGUUUUCCCUGUAUUAACAACAGAGCUGGGUGGAGGGGAACUGCAUCAGUAGCACACCAGCCCUGCAGAGCUCAGCUGGAAUGCUGUUCAGAACGGGGAGAGGCUCGGCACUUUGAUAUUGAUGUCUCCGAUGUUGAUGUUGCGGGGAAUCUCGGGCAGGUUCAUGUUCUUCACGGCAGAGACGGCGCGAGCGGGGGCCGCCGACAGACCUCCCUGUCGAAAUAAAACAACAUGAAGCUUUUGGGAAGCGUUGGGAACCUGAUCCACUCAUAGCUGUUCUGCUCAUCUCUUGCCAAGAAUCAUAGCAAACAGCAGUACUUGCCUUCCGCCCUCCAAGAAGUUGCAGACGUUGUCGUCUCUUUUAGAUACCAAAUGGAAAGUCUCCCGAAUGAUCUGCUGCUGCAUGUCCUCCGCCUGCAAGAAAACAUGUUACACAGCGCCAGCCAGUCUAGGAACUGUAGUCUCUGUUUGGUUAAUACAUUCACUCCACCUUUAUUUUAGUCAUAUUUUAUUUUUAACAUUUAGUGAUGGAGUAGAAGCACCAAAGAAAGUUAAAAGAAAAAAAAAAAAAAACUAACUUAUUUAA